CUACUUUUGCCCCGCUAUGGUUCAGGUAUGUCCACUCCGGAUAUGCCUGAUUAAAAGGGAACUCGGGUGAAAAUCCCGGACAGUCCCGCUGCUGUAAGUCUCAUAUAAUGCUCAGGCAUCGCCAAUCAGACCACUGUUGAACGUUCAAUGGGAAGGUCGCCUGAAGCAGAGAUAAGUCAGAAUACCUGCCAUACGACUGAUUUUUUA
This 207-nucleotide non-coding RNA is filed under the name Chitinophaga ginsengisegetis. The record is from RNAcentral. Lineage: Bacteria; Pseudomonadati; Bacteroidota; Chitinophagia; Chitinophagales; Chitinophagaceae.